CACUCUAACGGGACUGCCCGCGAAAGCGGGAGGAAGGAGGGGACGACGUCUGGUCAGCAUGGCCCUUACGGCCUGGGCGACACACGUGCUACAAUGCCCACUACAAAGCGAUGCCACCCGGCAACGGGAGCUAAUCGCAAAAAGGUGGGCCCAGUUCGGAUUGGGGUCUGCAACCCGACCCCAUGAAGCCGGAAUCGCUAGUAAUCGCGGAUCAGCCAUGCCGCGGUGAAUACGGUUCCCGGGCCUU
Molecule: ribosomal RNA, 247 nt
Filed under: uncultured Thermus sp.
Lineage: Bacteria; Thermotogati; Deinococcota; Deinococci; Thermales; Thermaceae
Description: partial 16S ribosomal RNA
Rfam family: Bacterial small subunit ribosomal RNA
Source: RNAcentral